AUUGAACGCUGGCGGCAGGCCUAACACAUGCAAGUCGAGCGGAGCGGCGGACGGGUGCGUAAUGCCUAGGAAUCUGCCUGGUAGUGGGGGAUAACGUCCGGAAACGGGCGCUAAUACCGCAUACUAUCAGAUGAGCCUAGGUCGGAUUAGCUUGUGGGUGGGGUAAAGGCUUACCAAGGCGACGAUCCGUAACUGGUCUGAGAGGAUGAUCAGUCACACGGGAAAUGAGACACGGUCCAGACCCCUACGGGAGGCAGCAGUGGGGAAUAUUGGACAAUGGGCGAAAGCCUGAUCCAGCCAUGCCGCGUGUAUGAAGAAGGUCUUAGGGUUGUAAAGUACUUUCAGUUGGGAGGCGUUACCAGCAGAAGAAGCACCGGCUAACUCCGUGCCAGCAGCCGCGGUAAUAC
RNAcentral lists this ribosomal RNA (407 nucleotides) under uncultured bacterium. Its description in RNAcentral is "partial 16S ribosomal RNA". It matches the Rfam family "Bacterial small subunit ribosomal RNA", at positions 30 to 526 of the family's 1533-position model. The record is from RNAcentral.